GACGAACGCUGGCGGCGUGCUUAACACAUGCAAGUCGAGCGGUAAGGCCCUUUCGGGGUACGACGAGCGGCGAACGGGUAGGAGUAACAACGUGGGUGGACCUCGCCCUCCAGCUCUGGGAGUAAGACCUCGGGAAACCGGGGUACCGUAAUAACCGGAGUAUGACUCCAUGACGCAUGUUGUGGGGUGGGAAAGACCUU
This 200-nucleotide ribosomal RNA is filed under the name uncultured bacterium. RNAcentral's name for it is "partial 16S ribosomal RNA". It matches the Rfam family "Bacterial small subunit ribosomal RNA", at positions 28 to 211 of the family's 1533-position model. The record is from RNAcentral.